RNAcentral lists this transfer RNA (77 nucleotides) under Acinetobacter sp. RNAcentral's name for it is "tRNA-Pro". It matches the Rfam family "tRNA". Rfam says of the family: Transfer RNA (tRNA) molecules are approximately 80 nucleotides in length. Their secondary structure includes four short double-helical elements and three loops (D, anti-codon, and T loops). The record is from RNAcentral. Lineage: Bacteria; Pseudomonadati; Pseudomonadota; Gammaproteobacteria; Moraxellales; Moraxellaceae. RNAcentral also lists the same sequence under 3 other names.
CGGAGCAUGGCGCAGUCUGGUAGCGCACCUGGUUUGGGACCAGGGGGCCGUAGGUUCAAAUCCUACUGUUCCGACCA